This 893-nucleotide long non-coding RNA is filed under the name Marmota monax (woodchuck). The record is from RNAcentral. Lineage: Eukaryota; Metazoa; Chordata; Mammalia; Rodentia; Sciuridae.
AUUAUCUAAAUUAUCUAAAUUAAUUAUCUAAAUUCUUCCAAAAAUCUGGAAGUCCUGAUUCUGUGAAUGUAAUUCUAGACUUCCAGAUUUUGGGAAGAUUAAGAUACUCCACUGGUUUAUAUUAAAAUCACAUAUUUAAUUUAAUAAAUAUUCAAUUUAAAAAUUUUAAGGUGAUCUUUCUUUGGUUUAUAUGCCAAAGAUAUGUUCAAUAUAUUAAAAUAAAUGAUUCUCUUAAAUUCAUUUUUAAAUAUAAGCUACCUUAAUUUGUAUAUAUUUUGUUAAAUUGUUUUUAUAAAACUUAAACUGCUUAUUCUUUUCUGUUAUAAAAUGUCUCAUUGCCUCUUGUUAAUGUUUCAUAUAUGGUACAUAUAUCCACAUAUUAAAAAGUACCUAAUAUUUUCUCAUUUGUAAUAUUCUAAUUCAUCCAUAAGAUAAAUACUGGAAUGACUAACACUAAUGAAAAUGUUAAUUAUGUUUAAUCAAAGAAGUUAACUUUUUUCUUCCAUGUUAUAUGGCUGAGUCUUUGGCAAGAUGCAAAAUGGAUUGUUUGGUGAAAUCUCUUCAAAUGAUAAGUGAUGGUUUAGAUGAUUUUGACCAGAUGAUAUCAACAACAAAAUUGUUCAGAUAAGAGAUAAAAUCAUGAUCAUACAUUCUCAAGCUAUUAUUGAAAGUCCUCCUUAUUAAAAUUCUAAUUAUACUACAUAAAUAAAGGAUUACCAAAAAAAUCAUAACAGUGAUUCAUACAAAAGGAAAUUUAGACUGUGUUAAAAAAAAUACUAGAGGAUUUUGGAGAAGUAGAAAAUUUAUUCCAAUAAAAAGUUCUCUGAAUGAAAAUAAAUUUCUGCAUUAUCUUAAUAUGUUGUAUGGGUCUUUUUGUUUUACAGUCCCUUGAU